AUUGAACGCUGGCGGCAUGCUUUACACAUGCAAGUCGGACGGCAGCACAGAGAAGCUUGCUUCUUGGGUGGCGAGCGGCGAACGGGUGAGUAAUAUAUCGGAACGUACCGAGUAAUGGGGGAUAACUAAUCGAAAGAUUAGCUAAUACCGCAUAUUCUCUGAGGAGGAAAGCAGGGGACCUUCGGGCCUUGCGUUAUUCGAGCGGCCGAUAUCUGAUUAGCUAGUUGGUGGGGUAAAGGCCUACCAAGGCGACGAUCAGUAGCGGGUCUGAAAGGAUGAUCCGCCACACUGGGACUGAGACACGGCCCAGACUCCUACGGGAGGCAGCAGUGGGGAAUUUUGGACAAUGGGCGCAAGCCUGAUCCAGCCAUGCCGCGUGUCUGAAGAAGGCCUUCGGGUUGUAAAGGACUUUUGUCAGGGAAGAAAAGGCUGUUGCUAAUACCGACAGCUGAUGACGGUACCUGAAGAAUAAGCACCGGCUAACUACGUG
RNAcentral lists this ribosomal RNA (490 nucleotides) under uncultured bacterium. RNAcentral describes it as "partial 16S ribosomal RNA". It matches the Rfam family "Bacterial small subunit ribosomal RNA", at positions 30 to 507 of the family's 1533-position model. The record is from RNAcentral.